Molecule: transfer RNA, 73 nt
Filed under: Ovis aries (sheep)
Lineage: Eukaryota; Metazoa; Chordata; Mammalia; Artiodactyla; Bovidae
Rfam family: tRNA
About the family: Transfer RNA (tRNA) molecules are approximately 80 nucleotides in length. Their secondary structure includes four short double-helical elements and three loops (D, anti-codon, and T loops).
Source: Rfam by way of RNAcentral
UCCCUGGUAGCUCAGGUGAUAAAAGCGUCUGCUUGCAAUGCAGGAGACACAGGUUUGAUCCCUGGGUUGGGAA